This 165-nucleotide ribosomal RNA is filed under the name Magnaporthaceae sp. RNAcentral describes it as "partial large subunit ribosomal RNA". It matches the Rfam family "Eukaryotic large subunit ribosomal RNA", at positions 99 to 261 of the family's 3401-position model. Lineage: Eukaryota; Fungi; Ascomycota; Sordariomycetes; Magnaporthales; Magnaporthaceae. The record is from RNAcentral.
CGGCAACAGCUCAAAUUUGAAAUCUGGCCCUCUCAGGGUCCGAGUUGUAAUUUGGAGAGGAUGCUUCGGCGUUUACGCCGCCCAAAGUUCCUUGGAACGGGACGUCAUAGAGGGUGAGAGCCCCGUGUCUGGGCGGAUGCAUUCACCAUGUGAAGCUCCUUCGAC